UUUGAGUGUUUCCGAACGACUCGUGACCAACACUGAUCUCGUGGUCCAGUUUUCGGUGGUCGUAGUCUCCAUUAGGUGCAGCACGUACUCCUCUGCCUUUCUGCUACUUCUACAUAACAGUACAAUGUCUUUAGGAAGUGAACUACGUCACUGCAUAAAGACUUUCUUGGUUAUCGGCUUCUUUGGCGUUGCUGUUUUUUCAGGAGUUCAAGAAACUGAACAGGUAAAGUGUAACUUCUCUGAUAGACUCUACAGCAUUGGGGAUAGCUGGUAUCAUUUUGUGGAUAACUCCAAAACACCUCUCUGUCUCACCUGCCACUGC
This is a long non-coding RNA of Limulus polyphemus (Atlantic horseshoe crab), 322 nucleotides long. RefSeq lists it as uncharacterized. The transcript is spliced from 3 exons. Lineage: Eukaryota; Metazoa; Arthropoda; Merostomata; Xiphosura; Limulidae. The record is from RefSeq and is a predicted model, not a curated record.